This 229-nucleotide ribosomal RNA is filed under the name uncultured bacterium. RNAcentral describes it as "partial 16S ribosomal RNA". It matches the Rfam family "Bacterial small subunit ribosomal RNA", at positions 524 to 751 of the family's 1533-position model. The record is from RNAcentral.
UACGGAGGAUCCAAGCGUUAUCCGGAUUUAUUGGGUUUAAAGGGUGCGUAGGCGGUCUGGUAAGUCGGCGAUGAAAGCCCGGGGCUCAACCCCGGAACUGUCGUCGAUACUGUCGGACUUGAAUAGAAGUGGAGGCUGGCGGAAUGGGCGGUGUAGCGUGAAAUGCAUAGAUACCGUCCAGAACCCCGAUUGCGAAAGGCAGCUGGCUGUACUCUUAUUGACGCUGAGG